RNAcentral lists this ribosomal RNA (401 nucleotides) under uncultured bacterium. RNAcentral describes it as "partial 16S ribosomal RNA". It matches the Rfam family "Bacterial small subunit ribosomal RNA", at positions 360 to 776 of the family's 1533-position model. The record is from RNAcentral.
AAUAUUAGUCAAUGGGGGGAACCCUGAACUAGCAACGCCGCGUGAAGGAAGAAGGUCUUCGGAUUGUAAACUUUUGUCUUCAGGGACGAAACAAAUGACGGUACCUGCGGAGGAAGCCCCGGCUAACUACGUGCCAGCCGCCGCGGUAAUACGUAGGGGGCAAGCGUUAUCCGGAAUUAUUGGGCGUAAAGAGUGCGUAGGUGGUUUUGUAAGCGCGGGGUGAAAGGCAAUGGCUCAACCAUUGUAAGCCUUGCGAACUGCAAGACUUGAGUGCAGGAGAGGAAAGUGGAAUUCCUAGUGUAGCGGUGAAAUGCGUAGAUAUUAGGAGGAACACCAGUGGCGAAGGCGACUUUCUGGACUGUAACUGACACUGAGGCACGAAAGCGUGGGGAGCAAACAGG